GAAGCUUCAGCUACACAUCUGAUGAAGACUGCUGGCUUGGCAGUUGGAACAUGUCAGGUAAACAAACAAAAAAACUCGUGUCUUUAUAUAACAGUGAAUAAAAAGUCAGAAUUGGCCUCUUCUGUGUGUUGUUUAGUGCCCACACCAUAGAGCAAGAUGUGGUUGAUCUGCGCCUGGCUGCUGGAGACAAGGGAUUCUGCAUUCAAUUCUGAAUUCAGUGAUGGAGAUGUUGUUACACUGGACAGGAAUCAUGCUUCCUACUUCAGCAUCCAGACACAGCUUCAUGCUGUGAACUAUGUGGUUUGAAACCGCAAUGACAUUUUUGUUAAACCCCUCCCCCCUUCAUGGAUGUUUUAUAACCAUAGACUUUAUAUAAAGAUAACACAUCCAUGAUCUAGACCUUAUCGUUAUAGGCUACCACCUCCCCCGUGGAUGUAUUACAAGAGUAAUCAAAGGCUGUCCAAGUGGCGUUUUUUCUGCCGUUGUUUGCCUGCGUGUGUUGCCAUUGGCCAGGAAACUGGGAGGAGCGCAGAGAGGCAGAGAAAGGAAACCGGGAAACAGAUCAAAACCAACGUUUGAAGCGUUACCUCGGUUUGUCAGUAUUGUGAGAACACCCGAUUGCCGAAUAAGCCUGAUGCUAAAACAAGCUUUGAAGUAGCUUUUUUGUCGAAUACGAAUGAGGCUGGACGCUGAACACACCUGCGGCGUAAAGGUGUCACCACUUCAUCCACAAUGUCGUCCACGAUCGCUGAGAUGUCUUCCAUGAUUGCAGAGACGUGGUCCAUGAUCGGAGAGACAUUGUCCAUGACUCGCAGAGACGUGCAAAAGUUCUUUAAGACCAGGCCUGGGGCCUCCAGGAGGAGAAGGCGACAGCAGCUGAAGACCUGAAGUAGAUGAAAGAAAACAAAAGUGUUACAAAGCUGUUAAUAGUCCACGUCCAUCAUCUAACUGCUGUUAACAGUGUUAGUUUCCUGUUGUUCAAGUGCAAACACCUUGUUUCUGUACCAUUUAUAAUGUAGUCAUGGGCAAAUUUUCCAAAGACUAAUGUGUCUUUAUGAGACUACUUAUGAUACAACUAUUUAAUUAAUAAUUGUAUCACAAGCAGGAAAAUGUGCUCAUAACUACAUUAAACCUAACCACCUCUAACAAGUGUUUCCUUGUGGUCAAAUGUCAUUAUCUUUGCUGUGAUUUGUUAAAUGUCCAGAAUAAAAUCCACAAAAGUUUCUUUUCAAACUUUUGAGUUGCAUUUCUCUGAUUUGAAACUGAUGCUAUACAAAUCAUUUUACUGCAUUUUAUUUCGAGACAAAUGUCAUAUAUAUUUUUUAUGCUCGUUAUUCAGACAUA
This is a long non-coding RNA of Lates calcarifer (barramundi perch), 1344 nucleotides long. RefSeq lists it as uncharacterized. The transcript has 3 exons. The record is from RefSeq and is a predicted model, not a curated record. NCBI's taxonomy places the organism in Eukaryota, Metazoa, Chordata, Actinopteri, Centropomidae.